GGGGGCAUAGCUCAGCUGGGAGAGCACCUGCCUUGCAAGCAGGGGGUCAGCGGUUCGAUUCCGCUUGUCUCCA
The sequence is a transfer RNA, 73 nucleotides long. It matches the Rfam family "tRNA". From Rfam's summary of the family: Transfer RNA (tRNA) molecules are approximately 80 nucleotides in length. Their secondary structure includes four short double-helical elements and three loops (D, anti-codon, and T loops). Further hydrogen bonds mediate the characteristic L-shaped molecular structure. tRNAs have two regions of fundamental functional importance: the anti-codon, which is responsible for specific mRNA codon recognition, and the 3' end, to which the tRNAs corresponding amino acid is attached (by aminoacyl-tRNA synthetases). tRNAs cope with the degeneracy of the genetic code in two manners: having more than one tRNA (with a specific anti-codon) for a particular amino acid; and 'wobble' base-pairing, i.e. permitting non-standard base-pairing at the 3rd anti-codon position. The record is from Rfam.